CCUACGGGGGACAGCAGUGAGGAAUAUUGGUCAAUGGACGAGAGUCUGAACCAGCCAAGUAGCGUGAAGGAUGACUGCCCUAUGGGUUGUAAACUUCUUUUAUAUGGGAAUAAAAUGUUCCACGUGUGGGAUUUUGUAUGUACCAUAUGAAUAAGGAUCGGCUAACUCCGUGCCAGCAGCCGCGGUAAUACGGAGGAUCCGAGCGUUAUCCGGAUUUAUUGGGUUUAAAGGGAGCGUAGGUGGAUUGUUAAGUCAGUUGUGAAAGUUUGCGGCUCAACCGUAAAAGUGCAGUUGAAACUGGCAGGCUUGAGUACAGUAGAGGUGGGCGGAAUGCGUGGUGUAGCGGUGAAAUGCUUAGAUAUCACGAAGAACUCCGAUUGCGAAGGCAGCUCACUGGACUGCAACUGACACUGAGGCUCGAAAGUGUGGGUAUCAAACAGGAUUAGAUACCCCGGUAGUC
Molecule: ribosomal RNA, 460 nt
Filed under: uncultured bacterium
Lineage: Bacteria
Description: partial 16S ribosomal RNA
Rfam family: Bacterial small subunit ribosomal RNA
Source: RNAcentral